CACUUCAUCGUUUAUUUUCAUUUCUGCUCAGAAGUCAAGUCGUGAACAAUAACAAAUACAAUAUCUACUCUACAUCUAGUAAUAUCGAAAUUCCUGGAACUUUCCUAAAUAGAAAUAUAUCAAGUAGAUCCUGUGUUAUCUCGAACUCAUCUAAUAGUAUAGAAGAAGUUGUAUCAUGAAAUGGAAGAACUGUUGAACUCUCCAUGGUGAAAAGAUUCGAAAAUACUAUUAUGUACAAUCCGCACAUAAGUAUUUAUAUAUUUAAUAACUGCAUUGGAUAUCCAAAAGGAUUGAAAUAACUAGAAAUAUUUUUGAUGAAGAAUAUUGUUUACAAUGUUUUCUUUACGGAUAAGUUAUCGUAAAGAAUUGAUAAAAUAUAUUGUAACAUAACUAACCUAACAAUUUCAGCAGACAUAUGAUUAGUGUUCAGAAUAAAUGAUUGAGAGAAUUAUAAUUCUCAUCAACAAUAUGAAUGCACUUAUAUUUUUGAUUACUAAAGGAGAAUUACUGCAAUUGUGCUAAUAUGUGAUUUUAUGAAAAUAAAUGAGAUUUGUUUUGA
Harmonia axyridis is the source of this 559-nucleotide long non-coding RNA. RefSeq lists it as uncharacterized. The transcript has 2 exons. NCBI's taxonomy places the organism in Eukaryota, Metazoa, Arthropoda, Insecta, Coleoptera, Coccinellidae. The record is from RefSeq and is a predicted model, not a curated record.